Long non-coding RNA from Carassius gibelio (silver crucian carp), 1257 nucleotides. RefSeq lists it as uncharacterized. NCBI's taxonomy places the organism in Eukaryota, Metazoa, Chordata, Actinopteri, Cypriniformes, Cyprinidae. The transcript is spliced from 3 exons. The record is from RefSeq and is a predicted model, not a curated record.
UUCAGUGGCUUAGUAAAUUUCACAAAAAUAAAGAGCUAUAUUUACUUAAUAAAAUCUUUUGAAAUCAUUUAAGUGAUAUUUUGAGUGGGUCAGGUUAAAAAUAAUAAUUAAAAAUCCAACAAAUAAUUUCUCUAAAAUUUACAUAUAUUAUUUAAGUUUAUUUAAUGAAAAUAAAUAAGUAUUUAACUAACUAAUUAUAUUUUUAACAUACCCUCAAUAUUUCUGGUGAAUUCUAAUAUAAAUAUUUGAUAAUUAUUUACUUGUACUGAUCUGUUUUAGAAACUAAAAUUAUUAAGUAUUUCCUACCAAUUUUCCUAAAUAAAGUUCCAGCUUAAUAAAAAACGGUUUAAAUAAAUUAAGUAAAUUUCGCGGCUAAAGUGAUCACGUGUGCAGCUCCGCAGGAAAAAAAAAAUCUGCUUUCCUCAGCAGAGACGUCGACUAACCAUACUCCUCACAACUCCUGGUUAAGUAAGGUUAGUCAGCUAAUCCUACUUACGUUUGUAACACUUUAUUAUAAAGUUAAUAAUUAUUAAGCAUUUCCUAACAAUUGUCUUUGUAUUUUACGUCAUCUUCAACAAGUUUCGUAACUUAAUCGAGGUCACCUGAAGGACGGCGUUCCUGAGUUUCCUCAGCAACGGCAAGACCCGCACUCCUCUCAUAUCGGGAAGUUUAACGAGUUUCGCGGCUCAAGCAAGAGGCACCUGUCACUGAAGGACUGCUUUUCUCAGCAACGACGUGAACAGCAUUACUCGAAUUUCCUGGUUCAGCUGAUCUACCCGUCUUCGUACAAGUAGAGUUGGCAGAGGAGGUCAUACAAAUCUACAUCCUUCGGGACAAUGAUGGGGCAGUCAGCGAUGUAGGAGUUGUGAUUGAGGGCAUCACUGUCCUCCGCAGUCUUGGGAAUCUAAGCAGAGCCUGCUGCUAUCUUUUGGGAGUCACGUAUGCAUUGGAUUUGAGAUAUCCCAAGACCCACAAAUACAGGUCCUUCUCAAAAAAUUAGCUUAUUGUGAUAAAGUUCAUUAUUUUCCAUAAUGUAAUGAUAAAAAUUAAACUUUCAUAUAUUUUAGAUUCAUUGCACACCAACUGAAAUAUUUCAGGUCUUUUAUUGAUUUAAUACUGAUGAUUUUGGCAUACAGCUCAUGAAAACCCCAAAUUCUCAAAACAUUAGCAAAUUUCAUCCGACCAAUAAAAGAAAAGUGUUUUUAAUACAAAAAAAAAAGUCAACCUUUAAAUAAUUAUGUUCAGUUAUGCACUCAA